UACGUAGGCAGCGAGCGUUGUUCGGAAUUACUGGGCGUAAAGAGCGUGUAGGCGGUGCUCUAAGUUCGGUGUGAAAUCUCCCGGCUUAACUGGGAGGGUGCGCCGGAAACUGGAGUGCUCGAGCGUGGGAGAGGAAAGCGGAAUUCCUGGUGUAGCGGUGAAAUGCGUAGAUAUCAGGAGGAACACCUGCGGUGUAGACGGCUUUCUGGACCAUAGCUGACGCUGAGACACGAAAGCGUGGGUAGCAAACAGG
This 253-nucleotide ribosomal RNA is filed under the name uncultured bacterium. RNAcentral describes it as "partial 16S ribosomal RNA". It matches the Rfam family "Bacterial small subunit ribosomal RNA", at positions 524 to 776 of the family's 1533-position model. The record is from RNAcentral.